Harmonia axyridis is the source of this 617-nucleotide long non-coding RNA. RefSeq lists it as uncharacterized. The transcript is spliced from 4 exons. Lineage: Eukaryota; Metazoa; Arthropoda; Insecta; Coleoptera; Coccinellidae. The record is from RefSeq and is a predicted model, not a curated record.
ACACUUAAAUAGAUUUCAAACCACAAUCAACGAGUUAUUCGGUAAAUCAAAGUGUUAUUAAACCCGUCGUUAAUAUGUUGUUUUACAAUUAAUCCGUAAAUUAUUCCGUAGUGGAUUCAAGAAGUUCGCAAAGUUGACGCGGACUGUUAUAAGAUUUUCGUCAAGCCCUUUUCGUGGUGUUCGCAAGCAGAUGUGCUUCAUCAAGCCCGUUUAGUAGUGAUGACGAGAGGCAGGAUUGAUGUAAAGGAAUUCUUAGAUGUCCGGUCUAUUGUGAGAAAUUGGUCUAUCGGUGAUGAACAAUACCUCAUUAUCCUCGAGUAUUUCUUUGGAUAUCUUAUUUGAGGAACGGAAGUGAAAUCCUAGUAUUUAAAUGCGGUCCUUUCCAACACAUCGCUCUGAAGGAAGAGAGGUCCAAGUUGACGUGUUCUUCUGUCUGCAUCAUCUGAAUUCCGAAAUAGUUUGGGAAAAUAAGCGGAGUCUGAAGAGUGAAACUGUGCUUUGAGAAGGAAUUCGUUAAAAAUUCUAGAAGGAGUCCAAAGAAUUAUCGUAUUCAUACCUAUAAUGAAUGUUCAUUAUAAUUGGAUUGUAUUAUUGUUAUCGACAAGUGUUCCAUAGAA